This is a long non-coding RNA of Homo sapiens (human), 942 nucleotides long. RefSeq lists it as uncharacterized. The record is from RefSeq and is a predicted model, not a curated record. The transcript has 3 exons. Lineage: Eukaryota; Metazoa; Chordata; Mammalia; Primates; Hominidae.
GCCACCUCAGAGCCGGCCAGGUAGAAGAUGAUCUCAUAGUUCUUCAACACAUCCACCAGGCGGCCUGGGGAGGAGGAGGAAGAGGAGGGAGAGAUGUAAAACCUCAUGUGGAUUCUGCCAUUUGAAACCUUAAAAAUGUCACUUGCUGUCCCUGGACCUCAAUUGCUUAAGUGAUAUGUGGCUUCUGAGACAGGGUUUUGCCAUGUUGCCCCGGCUGGUUUCAGACUUCUGGCCUCAGCCCCCCAAAGCGCUGGGAUUACAUGCAUGAGCCACUACACCCGACCAGGAAAAUCUCUUAAUUGCAAGUAUUUCCCCCUAAAGUGUGGUUUGUCUGUGUGCUCCACCCUCUCUCUAGGUCAUUCUCCUCACCCCAUGCACCUCCUCUGCCCAUCAGAUCCAUCCAGAUUCACACAAGAAAUGGAAGACGGUUCCUUGAGGCCUGGGCAGGCUGGUUUUGUGGCCUGCCCACACACUGGCUCAGGGACUUUGCCGUUCUCACUGGGUCAGGUGGGAUGACAGAGCUCAGUGAGGGCACUCGAUUAGCCCAGCCCUGAAGGAAGGACGAGCAGCUCACCCCAUCUCAGUGCAGCCUGCGGCCCCCGCAAGGUGUCCUCCCUGGUUACUGCACCAUCUCACAGCCCUCUAGCCUCUGGGACUCAAAGGCAGGCUCCCUUGCUGUUUCAAGAUAACUUGACAACCCAGGAAAACCCUCAUGUCCCCCACUCCCACCUUUCCAAUUUUGGUUCCUGCCUUGCUUGCAUAAGGACGCUGUUCCCCCCCAACAAGCCCUGCCCAUCCAUGCUGUGCCUUCACCUGGGGGAUAUUCCAGGAAGCCUUCCCUGACCACCCUCAUGACGAUGACUUCCUAAGGGUGACGGUGACAAGUGCCAGCAGGCCAUCUGCACAGUGAAAGACACCAGUGCUUCUCCCCAUCUGCCCGCU